UAGUUGUAGUUAUUUAAUAAAACAAUAGAAGUAAAAAUAUUAGAAAAUAAUGAGGAUUAUUAUUAUUAUUAAAAUAAAAUUAGAGUGAAAAAAAUGGUAUUUUGGUAAAUAGGGGAAUAAAUUAGGGCAUUGUGGGAAUCACUAAUUGAGAAGGAUUAAGUUUCUCAUAAAAACGAGUUAGUAGAGAGUUUUUGGGGUUAGUACGUAAAAACUGAAUUUGGAAAAGAAGAGGCUCGGAGAACAAGGGCUUAGGAGAACCUCCAUUGUUAGAGCUUGAAGGUGCUUUUGCUGGAAAUCCAAGGUAAAUGGGGAUUACUUCAAAUAUGGUGUUGCAUGCAUAAUUGGAUACGGGAGGUCCUUAAUCCCAUUAGAUUUUCCCCUAAUUUUUCCCUUUUGAUGAAUAAUUGAUGAAUAUGAACUGAUUUAGGUGGUAGCAUGAAUUAUGUGUUGUAUUAUAUGAAUUCCUUGUAUUGAUUUACCAUGGAGAUUGCGUGUUCUUGUUAGUGAAAAUGGUAUGAGUGGGUGUUUAUAUGGGUGUUAUGAUUUUGAUUAACAAAACAUAUGGAAACCAUGAUUAAUCAAAGAAAUUUCAUGUUAAUUGAUGGAUAGAUGAUGUACUAAUGUUAAAUAUUGUUUUCCUUAAUGUUGUUGAUUGAUUUGAAGGUUAGGAAGGGAAAAUCAGAGUUUUUAAUUGAACUUCGUGGGUGACAAGUGUCACCCUCAUGAGGACCAGGUCGUCACGGUCUUUGAGGCGUUGACGGGUAGAUCAUCAUGGUCCCUAGGCCCUGUUUUGUGGGGCGCGGGUCAUAUGAAUGACGAGCGAGGUGGUGUGAGCGGCUAAAGGGAAUCACUCUGGUGACGGGUAACCCAUCAUGCUUCCAAAAUGAAUGUUGUUUGCUCAGUUGCAUGUAAUCGAGUGUCAAUUUAGAUUUUUGAGGUUGUGUUGUGAUUAUGCUAUUGUUUGCCCACUAUUUAGAGGUAUUUUGGUGUUGUUUACUAUUUAUUGUAGAAUUAAGCAAAUAUUAUGUAUUGAGGAUGAUGUUGUGUGUAAUUGUUGUGAUUAUAUGGUUAUAAUUUUGGUGACAUUGAAAGUUGUUGAAAAUCAUGCAUCAUGGUAUAACUUCGGUCUAAUUUUUGUAUACUCUGGCCCGAUGGUAGGGAUUCAGGAGUGAGUAGCUAGUUCCAGAUGAGAAUCGGUGAAGCAUUACUAAAGGUGUUAGUAGCGAAUUGGUGUGCUCUGUUUCUACGGAGGGAAUUCAGGAGCGAGAUGGACCUGUGUUAUCCAUAAUGGUAUUGCAUGCAUGUAGAGUCGUGGUGUUGAGUACAUUACAUCCAUUGUUUGGAUUUUUAAUUUAAUGAUUAUGUUGAUAUGGGUGAUUGAGAUUACUUAUGUGGUUAAUGAGAAUGAAUUAUGUUGAAAUCAUGUGAAUAAGAUAUGUGAUUGUGGAUGUUUUCUUAGACUUCCCUUGCAUACUUUUGCACCAUUAUAUAUUUCUGGCGUAUUCUCACCCCUUUGUUAUUUGUGUGAUUCUGUGCUUCUUCUUGGAGUACAGACCAUUAGGUAAAUGAGUAGCUGCUUAGAAUAUGAAGGAUGGUGCUAAGGUUAUUCUUUUUUCCCGUUUUAUGCGAUAUUUAGACUUUGUUGCUCUUAUAUGUAACACUGGGCGGGCAAAGUUGUGUUUUAUUAUUUGUGAUUAUUGAUGGUGUUGUUGAUGUUGAAGGCAUUAUUCCAUAAUGAAGUUUUAUGUUUGAAAAGAAAUUGUUAUGAUACUUAAUUAUUUGUUGAGUUACUUUAUUUGAUUUAUUUUCUGUUGUGAUUAACCUAUGUAAAGGCGAGCAUAUGAUGAUAGAUGUUUGAAUUAUUUCAUGUUUUAUUUAACCCAUAUUAUAGAGCAAGUUUAUGUUGUGUUUGCAUGACACUCUAUGUGUAUAGUUGUUUUAAGUUCAUAUUAUUUUUGCGUUGGGGUUGUUUGGGUGUUACAUAGUGGUAUUAGAGCAAGUCGGUCCAUCCAACCAGGUUUUUGUAAUGUUGUAUAUUCCCUAGUAUGCAAUGAGUGUAUGAAUAUUAUCAAUGCAUUGUUUCUUUUAAUGUCUGUUUAUUGGUGUGAAGAAUGGUUGGAAGAAACUACCGAGCGAUUGUUGGUGCUUUGGAGGCGAUGACUCAGGCACUGCAAGAUCAGGAGAAUCAGGCUGGUGAUGAGUUCCACAUAUUGGGGAAGUUUCAGAGAAACAAUCUUUCAACUUUCAAGGGAAGAUAUGAUCUGGAGGGUGCGCAAACAUGGCUCAGAGAGAUUGAGAAGAUAUGGUUCUCGAAAGCAUCAAUGCAUAGACCUAGCAAUGCAAGUUUCAAGUGAACAUUCAACAAUACAUUCACUUAGCAGAAUUAUGCCAACAGAUGGUAACAUGAAAUCAUUUGCACAGGAUGAUAUUGCAUCCAAUUGACAAUAGAAAUUAAUACCAUAGUUAUUUCAUAGCAGCCUUUGAAUUCCAAAAGUUGCAGUUAAUAGUCUGCAGGUUUGAACCAAGCCAGGCCUGCAACAGAAAUGGAAAGCUAAUUGAAUUGUGUUGUUUUCUAACUGCCAUUGUACCUAACUAACAACCAUGUCUAACAGAUUCUCGUUCAGAAAAAUGAUGAAACUAAAUCUAACCAGUUCAACAACAGGUUUUACAUUGCAAUUGCCUUCUAACAAAACAUGCACUAGCAAAACUAACAAAAUAUGCAUUUGGAAAUUCCGCAAACUAACAAAACCUGCAGUUCAAAAGCAUACCUGCACUAGUAAGUCAUCAUUUUGAUCCAUAGAAACCUUCAUUCAUCUGGCAACCUGCAAUUGGCAGUGGUAACAAUUACUAACCUUUGCAUUACAAAACCUAACCAACUAACUAACGGUUCUAAUCAAGUCUAACAGCUUCAACUGAUUCCAACAUAAAUCACGUUGCCCUAGAACUAACAGUGUGAGUCAUAUCUAACUAAUUUUGCUUUAAUCCAAGUUAAUAAAGUUAACUCUGUUAACUCUCUCAUCAUCUAUAAAUCACCAUUCACUCUUCAACUUGAGGGCACUCUUUCAUUUUCCCAGAAAAUCGAUUUCAGAUUUCUCAAAUUCUCUCAAUCAUAAAUCCUCGCAAUCACUCAUUCACUGCACAUUAAUUGAACCACUAAUCCUCUCAAUUCUCACAUGAAUACCACCAUAGAAGUAAGAGGAAGAAGAAGUGAAGCAGAAGAAAGAAGGGAAGAAGGAGUUCAGAUUGAAGAUCAUACCUGCAAUUAUCUCUUGCUACCUCUGCGAAUUGCUCUGAGCUCGAAAUACUCUUCUCUCCGGCAGGCAAGUAUCACUCUUCAUCUUUAAUCAUCACUCUGGUUACCAGCAUGUAAGGGAGAGGCCGAGGAAUCAAAUCCCUAACCCUAGGGACUUUGGUUUCUCCAAUUUGAGAUUUAAUUUUUGAUUUUGUUGUAAGUAUCACUCUUCAUCUUUAAUCAUCACUCUGGUUACCAGCAUGUAAGGGAGAGGCCGAGGAAUCAAAUCCCUAACCCUAGGGACUUUGGUUUCUCCAAUUUGAGAUUUAAUUUUUGAUUUUGUUGUUAGGGUUCGUAUGGGAUUUCAACUUGAUUUAGGAGUUUUAGUUUGAAAUAGGUGAAAUUGAUGUGGGAUUAUGUUAGAUCUCGUGGAGUGGAUUUAAAUGGCAUAAGUUUUUUUUUGUGUUUGAUGCUCCGCCGACGUCGGUGGUGAGCUCAGGUGUGGCGAAGACUUUCUUUGAACAGGUUGAGAUGAUGAAUGCACUGAAUGCUUGUGAAACACAUGAUAUUUGCUUGAGUUUGAUCCCCGAGACUCUCAUAGGUGCAAUGGGAUAAAUGUUUCCCAUAAGCCCAAUGUUUUUCUUUUGACACCAUAGAAGUUUCCUACAUCCCCUCUGUUCAAAGGUAAAAGACCUGUGGGCGUACUGAAUGGGCCUUGCGCCCCAAAUCUUUUUGCAUUCUGUAUUUGGCAGCAAACCUUCCGGUUUCCAUUUUCUUUUAUUUUGUUGUUUUUACUUUUUUUUAAAUCAUAUUUUAGCAUGUGUUUUUUUGAUGAAACUAGUAAAGAAUCCGUACGUUCGCAUGGGUCGCGCAAGUGCAAUAAUUUAUUUA
This 4123-nucleotide long non-coding RNA is filed under the name Lathyrus oleraceus (garden pea). RNAcentral describes it as "Pisum sativum (pea) long non-coding RNA (PSAT_LNC003355)". The record is from RNAcentral. Lineage: Eukaryota; Viridiplantae; Streptophyta; Magnoliopsida; Fabales; Fabaceae.